GGGGGAUAAAUUAAUAAAUUAUAAAUUUAAUAAAAAAAUUUUUAAAUAAAAAUAUUUAAUGGGGGUUAAAGUAUUUUUAUAGAAAAAAUUAAAUAAUUUAUAAUAAAUUAGUAUUGUAAAAGAAUUUUGAAAUAAUUGAAAUAUAAAAUUUAUAAUAAAGUAAUUUUAAUUUAAUGUAUCUUGUGUAUCAGAGUUUAUUAAAAAAUAUUUAUAAAAAAAAAAUUCUCGAAUUUAAAAGAGAUAAUUAAUUAUUAAAGUUAUUGUGGCAUAAAUAUUUAAAUAAUUAAUUGGAAAUGAAAUGUUAAUCGUUUUUAAAAUAUAUCUAGUUUUUUUAGAAAAAAAUUUAAUUUUAUAUUAAUUUUAAAAAAUAAUUAAUUAAUUAAUUAUUUUUUAAAAUUAAUAUUAUAUUUUAAGGGAUAAGCUUUAAUUUAAAUUUAUAUAAAAUUUUUAAUUUGAUUUGAAAUUUUUAUAAUUUAUAUUGUUAAAAAAUUUUAAUUUAUUAUAAAUAAUUUCAUUUAAAAUAAAAUUUAAAUAAAUUUUUAUAUUUUUAUAAAAAAAAAUUUUUUAAUUUAAAAAUAAUUGUUAUAAUGAUAAAAUUAGUAUAUAAAUUGGAAAUUAAGAUUUAAUUUUUUAAUAAAAUUAAUUAAAAGGAAUUCGGCAAAAAUUUAUAUUCACUUGUUUAUCAAAAACAUGUCUUUUUGAAAAUAAUAUAAAGUCUAAUCUGCCCCCUGAUUUUUAAAAAAUUGAAGGGCUGCAGUAUUUUGACUGUACAAAGGUAGCAUAAUCAUUAGUCAUUUAAUUGAUGACUUGUAUGAAAGAUUGGAUGAAAUAUAAUCUGUCUCUUAAUUAAAAUAUAGAAUUUAAUUUUUUAAUUAAAAAGUUAAAAUAAAUUAAAAAGACGAGAAGACCCUAUAGAGUUUUAUAAGUAAGUUAAUUAAGAUUAUUUAUAAAAAAAAAUUAAAAUUAAUUUACUUAUUUUGUUGGGGUGACAAAAAAAUAAGUAAAACUUUUUUUAUAUAAAAUACCAUAUAUAAGUGAUUAAAUGAUCCAUUAAUAAUGAUUAAAAGAAAAAAUUACCUUAGGGAUAACAGCGUAAUUUUUUUUUUUAGUUCAUAUAAGAAAAAGAGUUUGCGACCUCGAUGUUGGAUUAAGAUAAAAUUUAAAUGCAGAAGUUUAAAAUUUUUGAUCUGUUCGAUCAUUAAAAUCUUACAUGAUCUGAGUUCAAACCGGUGUAAGCCAGGUUGGUUUCUAUCUUUUAAAAAUUAAAAUAUUUUAGUACGAAAGGAUUAAAUAUUUAAAUUAAAUUUAUUUUAAUGAAUUUUAAUAAAUUUAUAUUUAUAAAAAAAAAUUAUUAUAAUAUAUAUAUAUAUAUAU
This 1374-nucleotide ribosomal RNA is filed under the name Agrotis segetum (turnip moth). RNAcentral's name for it is "16S ribosomal RNA". The record is from RNAcentral. Lineage: Eukaryota; Metazoa; Arthropoda; Insecta; Lepidoptera; Noctuidae.